UAAUGGGGCCAUGCAUAGUUGAGAUUGACUGUAUUGUUAUAAGAGAAGUUCAAUAUCAAUUUGAAGUGAAUCGGUGUAGAAAUGAAGAAAUUAUAGUAAAGGCAAUUUUGGGUGGGUGUGGUCUAUGUGGGCGGGGCCCCAGGGUUGGUUAUGGGGCCAUGCAUAGUUGAGAUUGACCCUAAUGUCAUAAGAGAAGUUCAGUAUCAAUUUGAAGUGAAUCCGUGUAGAAAUGAAAAAAUUAUAGUAAAUGGAAUUUUUUGGUGGGUGUGGCCUAUGUGGGCGGGCGCCCCAGGGUUGGGAUUGGGGCCAUGCAUAGUUGAGAUUGACCCUAAUGUCAUAACAAAAGUUCAGUAUCAAUUUGAAGUGAAUCCGUGUAGAAAUGAAAAAAUUAUAGUAAAUGGAAAUUUUUGGUGGGUGUGGCCUAUGUGGGCGGGGCGCCCCAGGGUUGGGAAUGGGGCCAUGCAUGGUUGAGAUUGACCGUAUUGUCAUAAGAGAGGUCCAGUAUUAAUUUGAAGUGAAUCGGUGUAGAAAUAAAGAAGUAAAUGUAAAAUAACCUAAAAAAAUGAGUGAUAAUUUCUGACGCGGCCCCACCCCAACCGCUAUAACUUUUGACCCAG
Long non-coding RNA from Dreissena polymorpha, 617 nucleotides. RefSeq lists it as uncharacterized. NCBI's taxonomy places the organism in Eukaryota, Metazoa, Mollusca, Bivalvia, Myida, Dreissenidae. The record is from RefSeq and is a predicted model, not a curated record. The transcript has 2 exons.